This 328-nucleotide long non-coding RNA is filed under the name Amphimedon queenslandica. RNAcentral's name for it is "uncharacterized LOC109593164". The record is from RNAcentral. Lineage: Eukaryota; Metazoa; Porifera; Demospongiae; Haplosclerida; Niphatidae.
CAUGAUCAUCAACUGAUUCAGCAAGAGACUGACCUAAAGUUCACUUUGUAAACUGUUGUUCCUUUUUAGCAGGCUUGUUCACAAAGGACAUAGUGAAGCUAGUCCAGGCUUUUAGACAUUGCAACUGACAAGAAAAGAACACUGAAAUAGCACUAAAUAAUGAAAUGACUAUGCUUUCUAGUGUUGCUGUGGUGGCCCACUGUGAUUGGCACCAAAGUCUUACCACCUCCUCCUUUAUUUAGUCUCUCUUCAUCACCUUGUUAUCAGCCUGCCAUUUAUGCAUUCAUAAUUAUAAGAUUUUCAUAAAAAAUUGAAAUUAUAAUUGCAA